This 1548-nucleotide ribosomal RNA is filed under the name Enterococcus faecium. RNAcentral's name for it is "bacterial SSU rRNA". It matches the Rfam family "Bacterial small subunit ribosomal RNA". The record is from RNAcentral. Lineage: Bacteria; Bacillati; Bacillota; Bacilli; Lactobacillales; Enterococcaceae.
AGAGUUUGAUCCUGGCUCAGGACGAACGCUGGCGGCGUGCCUAAUACAUGCAAGUCGAACGCUUCUUUUUCCACCGGAGCUUGCUCCACCGGAAAAAGAGGAGUGGCGAACGGGUGAGUAACACGUGGGUAACCUGCCCAUCAGAAGGGGAUAACACUUGGAAACAGGUGCUAAUACCGUAUAACAAUCGAAACCGCAUGGUUUUGAUUUGAAAGGCGCUUUCGGGUGUCGCUGAUGGAUGGACCCGCGGUGCAUUAGCUAGUUGGUGAGGUAACGGCUCACCAAGGCCACGAUGCAUAGCCGACCUGAGAGGGUGAUCGGCCACAUUGGGACUGAGACACGGCCCAAACUCCUACGGGAGGCAGCAGUAGGGAAUCUUCGGCAAUGGACGAAAGUCUGACCGAGCAACGCCGCGUGAGUGAAGAAGGUUUUCGGAUCGUAAAACUCUGUUGUUAGAGAAGAACAAGGAUGAGAGUAACUGUUCAUCCCUUGACGGUAUCUAACCAGAAAGCCACGGCUAACUACGUGCCAGCAGCCGCGGUAAUACGUAGGUGGCAAGCGUUGUCCGGAUUUAUUGGGCGUAAAGCGAGCGCAGGCGGUUUCUUAAGUCUGAUGUGAAAGCCCCCGGCUCAACCGGGGAGGGUCAUUGGAAACUGGGAGACUUGAGUGCAGAAGAGGAGAGUGGAAUUCCAUGUGUAGCGGUGAAAUGCGUAGAUAUAUGGAGGAACACCAGUGGCGAAGGCGGCUCUCUGGUCUGUAACUGACGCUGAGGCUCGAAAGCGUGGGGAGCAAACAGGAUUAGAUACCCUGGUAGUCCACGCCGUAAACGAUGAGUGCUAAGUGUUGGAGGGUUUCCGCCCUUCAGUGCUGCAGCUAACGCAUUAAGCACUCCGCCUGGGGAGUACGACCGCAAGGUUGAAACUCAAAGGAAUUGACGGGGGCCCGCACAAGCGGUGGAGCAUGUGGUUUAAUUCGAAGCAACGCGAAGAACCUUACCAGGUCUUGACAUCCUUUGACCACUCUAGAGAUAGAGCUUCCCCUUCGGGGGCAAAGUGACAGGUGGUGCAUGGUUGUCGUCAGCUCGUGUCGUGAGAUGUUGGGUUAAGUCCCGCAACGAGCGCAACCCUUAUUGUUAGUUGCCAUCAUUUAGUUGGGCACUCUAGCAAGACUGCCGGUGACAAACCGGAGGAAGGUGGGGAUGACGUCAAAUCAUCAUGCCCCUUAUGACCUGGGCUACACACGUGCUACAAUGGGAAGUACAACGAGUCGCGAAGUCGCGAGGCUAAGCUAAUCUCUUAAAGCUUCUCUCAGUUCGGAUUGCAGGCUGCAACUCGCCUGCAUGAAGCCGGAAUCGCUAGUAAUCGCGGAUCAGCACGCCGCGGUGAAUACGUUCCCGGGCCUUGUACACACCGCCCGUCACACCACGAGAGUUUGUAACACCCGAAGUCGGUGAGGUAACCUUUUGGAGCCAGCCGCCUAAGGUGGGAUAGAUGAUUGGGGUGAAGUCGUAACAAGGUAGCCGUAUCGGAAGGUGCGGCUGGAUCACCU